UGCGUAGACGGCAAAGCAAGUCAAUUAUAAAAUCUCCUGGCUUAACCGGGAGCUCGUAGUUGAAACUGUUUUGCUAGAGGAUGGAAGAGAGAAGUGGAAUUCUCGGAGUAGCGGUAAAAUGCGUAGAUCUCGAGAGGAACACCGAUGGCGAAGGCAGCUUCUUGGUCCAUUUCUGACGUUGAGGCACGAAAGCGUGGGGAGCAAACA
Molecule: ribosomal RNA, 207 nt
Filed under: uncultured bacterium
Lineage: Bacteria
Description: partial 16S ribosomal RNA
Rfam family: Bacterial small subunit ribosomal RNA
Source: RNAcentral